Molecule: long non-coding RNA, 619 nt
Filed under: Vombatus ursinus (common wombat)
Lineage: Eukaryota; Metazoa; Chordata; Mammalia; Diprotodontia; Vombatidae
Description: lncRNA (ENSVURG00010020695.1)
Source: RNAcentral
AGACGGAGCUCGCGGUGAGGAGGCAUGGAUGAACCCACUUAUGGGACUUAGCAAAAGCAAAGGCUCCUCAGGUAAGUCCAGCUCUUCAAUUCGGAAAACCAAGAGUAAGAGUCAGGACAGACAUGCGGACAGGUCAACAAGCAGCCGGCCUAGCUCUAGUUCCAAUACUUCCAGCAUUCAUGGAUCUAUAAAAACAAGUUUGAAAUCUCCACGGAGUAUUAGUGAAACUGGUAGGCAACAUCUAAAAGGGGGUCUCUUCAAGAAGGAUAUGGCUAGGGUGGAAGGCAUAUCUUUUGGAUUUAAUUUCAACAAAUAUUGUAAAGCAACUAAGAUGGAAAGCUUUGGGACACAUAUGACCCUGACCCUGUUUUCAAGGGCUAUACAAUCUAAGUAAUGUAUGGGGUGGUAGGAGAAGACAUUUAUGCAGAUCAUCUUAAUAUAAAAGGAGUGUGAUGAAGAGUACAAAGGAGAUCUCUGGACAAUGUGCUAAAAGAAUUUUGAGGAGACAUAUUUAGGUUGCUUUUUACCGGAAAGAUUUGGGGAGGUUUCACAGAAGAGGUAGCUUAUUAGAAUUGAUCCUUGAAAGGGAAGUGGGGAAAUAAACGUUUACAUAGCACCA